Molecule: long non-coding RNA, 704 nt
Organism: Thunnus maccoyii (southern bluefin tuna)
Lineage: Eukaryota; Metazoa; Chordata; Actinopteri; Scombriformes; Scombridae
Exons: 3
Source: RefSeq, a predicted model, not a curated record
CCAGCACCACUAAAUCUCGUGAAAUACCAUGUUAUAUCUUGUUUGUUUAAUGCGUACAAAGACUGAAGUGUAAACGUGACAAGUUGUGCUCUUACAUAAGUACAUUUCUUGCCUAAGUGCAGCAAUUUCCACCUGCUUCUAGUGCCUCCAGUGUUUAUUCUAAGCUAACAUGUCUCCUGUUUCCUGGCUGUAGCUUCAUAUUUAAUUAAAUACUUCGACUUUCUGAGAGAUAGAAGAAUGAUUUCUCUUUCAUGUCUUUUACUCUAAAUAUGAGGCAAAAACAGCAGCUGAUUAGCUUAGCAUAAAGGCUGGAAAAAAGGAACAGCUAUUCUGGCUCUUUCCAAAGCAGUGCCAGUCAGCAGAAACAUCCAGGACAAGCCGACGGUUCGUCAAGCCACCGGUAGAUGGAGACGUUGAGAGGAGAGAGGCCCAGUGGCAGAGCUGAGCCCAAAAGUUUCAGAUGUGGGAAUGUUGCUGGUUCAAAUCUCUGCACUGGCUCGGCAAAUGUGGCUUGAGAACCCCUGAAUGAAAACUGUCUUUUGAGGAGCAGCAGGUAAAAUACCCAAGUGACUUCAUAUUACUCCUGAGGCCAGCCGUUAAAGAUCAUGAUGGCACUGCAGCACCAAAGAGUGAAUCUCCUGUUUAAAAAUGAUGCUGAACUCUGCUUGGAAAGUAAAGUGGGGAGUUAUGUAGAGCUCAAUCAA